This 450-nucleotide ribosomal RNA is filed under the name uncultured bacterium. RNAcentral describes it as "partial 16S ribosomal RNA". It matches the Rfam family "Bacterial small subunit ribosomal RNA", at positions 354 to 796 of the family's 1533-position model. The record is from RNAcentral.
GUGGGGAAUAUUGGACAAUGGGCGCAAGCCUGAUCCAGCCAUGCCGCGUGUGUGAAGAAGGCCUUCGGGUUGUAAAGCACUUUUGUUGGGAAAGAAAUCCUGUCGGCUAAUACCCGGCGGGGAUGACGGUACCCAAAGAAUAAGCACCGGCUAACUUCGUGCCAGCAGCCGCGGUAAUACGAAGGGUGCAAGCGUUACUCGGAAUUACUGGGCGUAAAGCGUGCGUAGGUGGUUCGUUAAGUCAGAUGUGAAAGCCCCAGGCUCGACGUGGGAAUUGCAUGUGAUACGGGCGGACUAGAGUGCGGUAGAGGAGAGUGGAAUUGCCGUUGUAGCAGUGAAAUGCGUAGAGAUCGGGAGGAACAUCAGUUGCGAAGGCGGCUCUCUGGACCAGCACUGACACUGAGGCACGAAAGCGUGGGGAGCAAACAGGAUUAGAAACCCGAGUAGUCC